GCGUCGUGACAUGUCGCGACGUGCCGUGGCCUGUCAUGACACGCGGCCACGGGGCCUCCCCCUACCUGUGCCAAGCCGGGCGCAGAGGCCGAGCGCCACGACGAGCCAGGGGAGCAUGGCGCAGGGCAGCGCGCGGCCCCCGGUCGAUGCAUGGCACGGACUUUGUCCCCAAGGCCUGGGGGUGUCACCGGGGCACGGGGGCCGCUGGGGGGGGACACAUGGGCACCGGGGGGUGGCACCUGCAUGUGGCACGUGUGUGUGUGUGUGGGUGGCUCACAUGUGCAAGGUGGUGUGCACGUGGUGGAGCCUGGGAAGGGGACCUGUGUGUGUGUGCGUGUGCAUGGAGUGUCCCUGGGGGGGUGCACACACAUGUGUGUGCGUGCACAUACGUGUGCGUGCUCACCUGUGAGUGCACAGGGAGUGCGCACACGCACCGUGCGUCCACGUGCACAGAGGUGUUUGCACACAUGAUGGCACGCGUGUGCAUGCGUGUGUGUGUGCACAUAUGUGCACACGUGUGCCCGCACCCCCCCUCCCGCCCCCCCCCCCCCCCCCCCCCAGUUCCCCCACCUCCUGCACUACUGGUUAAACUGGGUCCCGGCCAGGGAGCCCCCCCUCCCGCCCCAUGCCCAGCAGCCCCAGCACCCACGGGUGCGACGCUGAGGCUGCCCCAGCGCCCAUGGGUGCGGUGGGGGCGUUGCGCCAUGCUGUGGGUGGCCGGGGCACCCAUGGGUGCGGUGGCAGGGUUGCAGCGUGCUAGGGGUGGCCCAGCAGCCAGGACACGCUGCCAGCAGGCGUGCCAGGGCAUGGCGGUGCCACCGCGACGUGUCGGGGCGUGAUGCCACCAGGACACGCAUGGUGGGGACAAGGACACCAGGACAUGUCACAGCAUGAAGCCACCAGCACAUGCAUAGAGGGGACAACGCCACCAGGACGUGUCCGGGGACAAUGCCACCAGCACACACACGGUGGCACAGUGACACCAGGACACACCAGGACAUGUGACAACAUCGUGCUGCGUCCCCACCCCUGGCCCAACCUUCGCCCCGUCCCCGUUCCGGGUGACAAAGUGCGUCCAGCCAGGGGGGGACCAUGGUGGCCGCCUGGGUGCUGGGUCCCUUGGGCGCCCUGCUGCUCGCCCUGCUGCUGGGGUGGCUGCCGGGCGCGGUGGCCGCUGUCACCCGCUUCCGAGCCACUUGUCACCAC
RNAcentral lists this long non-coding RNA (1206 nucleotides) under Anas platyrhynchos platyrhynchos (common mallard). RNAcentral describes it as "lncRNA (ENSAPLG00000018373.1)". The record is from RNAcentral. Lineage: Eukaryota; Metazoa; Chordata; Aves; Anseriformes; Anatidae.